Molecule: ribosomal RNA, 460 nt
Filed under: uncultured bacterium
Lineage: Bacteria
Description: partial 16S ribosomal RNA
Rfam family: Bacterial small subunit ribosomal RNA
Source: RNAcentral
CCUACGGGCGGCAUCAGUGAGGAAUAUUGGUCAAUGGACGAGAGUCUGAACCAGCCAAGUAGCGUGAAGGAUGACUGCCCUAUGGGUUGUAAACUUCUUUUAUAUGGGAAUAAAAUGUUCCACGUGUGGGAUUUUGUAUGUACCAUAUGAAUAAGGAUCGGCUAACUCCGUGCCAGCAGCCGCGGUAAUACGGAGGAUCCGAGCGUUAUCCGGAUUUAUUGGGUUUAAAGGGAGCGUAGGUGGAUUGUUAAGUCAGUUGUGAAAGUUUGCGGCUCAACCGUAAAAUUGCAGUUGAAACUGGCAGUCUGGAGUACAGUAGAGGUGGGCGGAAUUCGUGGUGUAGCGGUGAAAUGCUUAGAUAUCACGAAGAACUCCGAUUGCGAAGGCAGCUCACUGGACUGCAACUGACACUGAGGCUCGAAAGUGUGGGUAUCAAACAGGAUUAGAUACCCCUGUAGUC